GGGACACGUGGUAUCCUGUCUGAAUAUGGGGGGACCAUCCUCCAAGGCUAAAUACUCCUGACUGACCGAUAGUGAACCAGUACCGUGAGGGAAAGGCGAAAAGAACCCCGGCGAGGGGAGUGAAAAAGAACCUGAAACCGUGUACGUACAAGCAGUGGGAGCACCUUCGGGUGUGACUGCGUACCUUUUGUAUAAUGGGUCAGCGACUUAUAUUCUGUAGCAAGGUUAACCGUAUAGGGGAGCCGCAGGGAAACCGAGUCUUAACUGGGCGUUAAGUUGCAGGGUAUAGACCCGAAACCCGGUGAUCUAGCCAUGGGCAGGUUGAAGGUUGGGUAACACUAACUGGAGGACCGAACCGACUAAUGUUGAAAAAUUAGCGGAUGACUUGUGGCUGGGGGUGAAAGGCCAAUCAAACCGGGAGAUAGCUGGUUCUCCCCGAAAGCUAUUUAGGUAGCGCCUCGUGAACUCAUCUUCGGGGGUAGAGCACUGUUUCGGCUAGGGGGUCAUCCCGACUUACCAACCCGAUGCAAACUACGAAUACCGAAGAAUGUUAUCACGGGAGACACACGGCGGGUGCUAACGUCCGUCGUGAAGAGGGAAACAACCCAGACCGCCAGCUAAGGUCCCAAAGUCAUGGUUAAGUGGGAAACGAUGUGGGAAGGCACAGACAGCCAGGAUGUUGGCUUAGAAGCAGCCAUCAUUUAAAGAAAGCGUAAUAGCUCACUGGUCGAGUCGGCCUGCGCGGAAGAUGUAACGGGGCUAAACCAUGCACCGAAGCUGCGGCAGCGACACUAUGUGUUGUUGGGUAGGGGAGCGUUCUGUAAGCCUGCGAAGGUGACCUGUGAGGGUUGCUGGAGGUAUCAGAAGUGCGAAUGCUGACAUAAGUAACGAUAAAGCGGGUGAAAAGCCCGCUCGCCGGAAGACCAAGGGUUCCUGUCCAACGUUAAUCGGGGCAGGGUGAGUCGACCCCUAAGGCGAGGCCGAAAGGCGUAGUCGAUGGGAAACAGGUUAAUAUUCCUGUACUUGGUGUUACUGCGAAGGGGGGACGGAGAAGGCUAUGUUAGCCGGGCGACGGUUGUCCCGGUUUAAGCAUGUAGGCUGGUUGUCCAGGCAAAUCCGGAUAAUCAAGGCUGAGGUGUGAUGACGAGGCACUACGGUGCUGAAGUAACAAAUGCCCUGCUUCCAGGAAAAGCCUCUAAGCAUCAGGUAACAUUAAAUCGUACCCCAAACCGACACAGGUGGUCAGGUAGAGAAUACCAAGGCGCUUGAGAGAACUCGGGUGAAGGAACUAGGCAAAAUGGUGCCGUAACUUCGGGAGAAGGCACGCUGGUGUGUAGGUGAAGCCCCUGCGGGUGGAGCUGAGACCAGUCGAAGAUACCAGCUGGCUGCAACUGUUUAUUAAAAACACAGCACUGUGCAAACACGAAAGUGGACGUAUACGGUGUGACGCCUGCCCGGUGCCGGAAGGUUAAUUGAUGGGGUUAUCCGUAAGGAGAAGCUCUUGAUCGAAGCCCCGGUAAACGGCGGCCGUAACUAUAACGGUCCUAAGGUAGCGAAAUUCCUUGUCGGGUAAGUUCCGACCUGCACGAAUGGCGUAAUGAUGGCCAGGCUGUCUCCACCCGAGACUCAGUGAAAUUGAACUCGCUGUGAAGAUGCAGUGUACCCGCGGCAAGACGGAAAGACCCCGUGAACCUUUACUAUAGCUUGACACUGAACAUUGAGCCUUGAUGUGUAGGAUAGGUGGGAGGCUUUGAAGCGUGGACGCCAGUCUGCGUGGAGCCAACCUUGAAAUACCACCCUUUAAUGUUUGAUGUUCUAACGUUGGCCCCUUACCGGGGUUGCGGACAGUGUCUGGUGGGUAGUUUGACUGGGGCGGUCUCCUCCCAAAGCGUAACGGAGGAGCACGAAGGUUAGCUAAUCCUGGUCGGACAUCAGGAGGUUAGUGCAAUGGCAUAAGCUAGCUUGACUGCGAGCGUGACGGCGCGAGCAGGUGCGAAAGCAGGUCAUAGUGAUCCGGUGGUUCUGAAUGGAAGGGCCAUCGCUCAACGGAUAAAAGGUACUCCGGGGAUAACAGGCUGAUACCGCCCAAGAGUUCAUAUCGACGGCGGUGUUUGGCACCUCGAUGUCGGCUCAUCACAUCCUGGGGCUGAAGUAGGUCCCAAGGGUAUGGCUGUUCGCCAUUUAAAGUGGUACGCGAGCUGGGUUUAGAACGUCGUGAGACAGUUCGGUCCCUAUCUGCCGUGGGCGCUGGAGAAUUGAGGGGGGCUGCUCCUAGUACGAGAGGACCGGAGUGGACGCAUCACUGGUGUUCGGGUUGUCAUGCCAAUGGCACUGCCCGGUAGCUAAAUGCGGAAGAGAUAAGUGCUGAAAGCAUCUAAGCACGAAACUUGCCCCG
Molecule: ribosomal RNA, 2395 nt
Filed under: Klebsiella pneumoniae
Lineage: Bacteria; Pseudomonadati; Pseudomonadota; Gammaproteobacteria; Enterobacterales; Enterobacteriaceae
Description: partial 23S ribosomal RNA
Rfam family: Bacterial large subunit ribosomal RNA
Source: RNAcentral